CCCUUAGAUGUUCGGGGCCGCACGCGCGCUACACUGAAGGAAUCAGCACGUCUUUCUCCUUGUCCGAAAGGACUGGGUAACCCGCUGAACCUCCUUCGUGCUAGGGAUUGGGGCUUGUAAUUCUUCCCCAUGAACGAGGAAUUCCCAGUAAGCGCGAGUCAUAAGCUCGCGUUGAUUACGUCCCUGCCCUUUGUACACACCGCCCGUCGCUACUACCGAUUGGAUGGUUUCGUGAGAUCCUCGGAUUGGUCCCGGAGCGGCCUCUGGUCGUGCCGGAGUGCCGAAAAGAAUGUCGAACUUGAUCAUCUAGAGGAAGUAAAAGUCGUAACA
This 330-nucleotide ribosomal RNA is filed under the name uncultured eukaryote. RNAcentral's name for it is "partial 18S ribosomal RNA". It matches the Rfam family "Eukaryotic small subunit ribosomal RNA", at positions 1470 to 1796 of the family's 1831-position model. The record is from RNAcentral.